Long non-coding RNA from Schistocerca gregaria, 913 nucleotides. RefSeq lists it as uncharacterized. NCBI's taxonomy places the organism in Eukaryota, Metazoa, Arthropoda, Insecta, Orthoptera, Acrididae. The transcript has 3 exons. The record is from RefSeq and is a predicted model, not a curated record.
UGAAAACGAUCGGCGCGAAUCGAAAGGAAAUUAACUGCUGGCGUUGACAAAACAGCGUUGUGUCAGUAAAUGAUCAAGAAUGGAAAGAAAUAUUUGCCACGAAAUUGCUGGUAGUUGCAAAGUUCAAUAAAUCAUAAUUCGUAUAAAUUUGGCAAACUGCGAAACGAUGUACGUUGUCUCCUUUUAUCCUCACAAAGUUGUGAUUCACCCGUCAUUUAAUAUUUCGUGUUUAUUUAAAUUCUAAUAUGGAAUUCAUUGAUUCUGUGAGGAUGAAGUCUGUGGCAUCGUAAACAUUGUGUACCAGUGAAAGGGAAAUGAGUAUUCAUACCCCCACAAAACCAAGAUUCACCAUGAAAUUUUGUGUAUGUAGGCCUAAUUUGAUUUUUUAUUAUGGAAGUCAUCAAAAAGGGCUACUACGUCCUGAAACCCCAUAAUGAGGAGAGCUACAAUGGGAUUGAACACCAUGUUAUUAGGAUAAUUGCAGUCUGGACCUCGAUAAUUGGGUAGACUAAGGUGAAGAUUGCUGGCGUCAUAUCAUAUAUAACUGUUCUAGAAUAGCAUACAUAACUCAGGGAAACAUUGGUGCAGAGGUCAACGCCAUUGUUAUAUAUGAUAACGGCCCAGAGUUGUAAUAAAUAUUUUAAUAUUUGCUAUUUUUGAUAAAUAAUAAAAAUAAAUGUAAAUGUAGGAGAUUUCUCUUGAUUAGCGGUUCUUCUUUUGGAGCAGUAAUAGUAGUCAGUUUUUCUAAUAUUGAACCAUAUUCAUAUAACAUUAUUUCAGUAAGUUUUUUUUUAAACCUGCUUAACGGACAUUGCGAGAAUCUCCUCAGCAUUGCAAUUUAACAAAAGUAAUUAUGUAGCUAUAUAUCUGGAAUACUGUGUGUUGGUGGUGUCUUUUGAUAUAAAAACAGCUU